GACGAACGCUGGCGGCGUGCCUAAUACAUGCAAGUCGAACGCACAGUUUAUACCGUAGCUUGCUACACCAUAGACUGUGAGUUGCGAACGGGUGAGUAACGCGUAGGUAACCUGCCUGGUAGCGGGGGAUAACUAUUGGAAACGAUAGCUAAUACCGCAUAAUAUUAAUUAUUGCAUGAUAAUUAAUUGAAAGGUGCAAUUGCACCACUACCAGAUGGACCUGCGUUGUAUUAGCUAGUAGGUGAGGUAACGGCUCACCUAGGCGACGAUACAUAGCCGACCUGAGAGGGUGAUCGGCCACACUGGGACGGAGACACGGCCCAGACUCCUACGGGAGGCAGCAGUAGGGAAUCUUCGGCAAUGGACGAAAGUCUGACCGAGCAACGCCGCGUGAGUGAAGAAGGUUUUCGGAUCGUAAAGCUCUGUUGUAAGAGAAGAACGGGUGUGAGAGUGGAAAGUUCACACUGUGACGGUAUCUUACCAGAAAGGGACGGCUAACUACGUG
RNAcentral lists this ribosomal RNA (505 nucleotides) under uncultured bacterium. RNAcentral describes it as "partial 16S ribosomal RNA". It matches the Rfam family "Bacterial small subunit ribosomal RNA", at positions 28 to 507 of the family's 1533-position model. The record is from RNAcentral.